UACGGAGGGAGCUAGCGUUGUUCGGAAUUACUGGGCGUAAAGCGCACGUAGGCGGCUUUGUACGUCAGAGGUGAAAGCCUGGAGCUCAACUCCAGAACUGCCUUUGAGACUGCAUCGCUCGAAUCCGGGAGAGGUGAGUGGAAUUCCGAGUGUAGAGGUGAAAUUCGUAGAUAUUCGGAAGAACACCAGUGGCGAAGGCGGGUCACUGGACCGUUAUUGACGCUGAGGUGCGAAAGCGUGGGUAGCGAACAGG
Molecule: ribosomal RNA, 253 nt
Filed under: uncultured bacterium
Lineage: Bacteria
Description: partial 16S ribosomal RNA
Rfam family: Bacterial small subunit ribosomal RNA
Source: RNAcentral